Molecule: long non-coding RNA, 6058 nt
Filed under: Homo sapiens (human)
Lineage: Eukaryota; Metazoa; Chordata; Mammalia; Primates; Hominidae
Description: non-protein coding FBXO3-DT:20
Source: RNAcentral
GCAGUGCGAGUUCAGCCCGCUUUCUUCGCGCUCCGCGUCAAAUCUCUCCAGCUCUGUUCUCGCAUCCCGGUUCGUAAACUUGCCCAGCCCGGGACCCUUUUGUUGCCAAAUCUGCCUCGGUCUGCCCAACUCCUCCUGCGAAAUUUUACACUCAGUAUGCAGGAAGCCUCGCUCAAAAUCUGACACUCCUCCACGCCCUUGGUCCCCAAAUCCAUUCCUUCUCUUUGUUUUCCAACCCGAGAACCCCUCGUUUUCCCCGCUCAGCCUUCCCCACCCCGCUUGUCCCCCGCACACAGCAGGGCCGCUCCGAGACUUGUCCACUCAGCAAGAGCAGAGCUGAGAAUCAGCCAGGGACGCCAGCUGAAGGCCCUUCUCCCAAAUUAAGGAAAUAAUUGUUGAGGGCUUAACUUCACGCCCCUCCCCGCCUUCCUAAGUAAAAUGUGUACAAGGAGUGAGUCUGAGUCUCAGCCGCUGUCCCUUAAUUUGGUUAUCAUGGCUAUUUUCAGCCUAUUAGGGCAAUGCAAAGGGUACAGUGUGGAUUUUUUCCAGCUUUAAAAUUUAUUUUGGCCAGGGUUUAGAUCCCGCAGAGUUAAGUAUCCCGCGUGUGAAGGGAUGAACUGAGACUCCCAGAGGGCAUAACUGAUGGAGGCACGAAGAUGUCUGCUCUUCAGCUUUGCCAAGGUGAUAUUAAAAUGAGAGUGGGGGAAGUAUAAUGGGUCCAUACAUCACUUGCCUGAUUUCUUCUUUUCCAUUGCUUUUCCAAAGGUAGUAUGGUGUAAGGGGCUUUGGGGAAUCCAGACAGACCUGGACUUCACACGCCCGUCAUUUAUUUCACUACUAGUGAAAUGCUGGCGUAGUUACGCCUAAGUUCUCUGAGACUGUCCCUCAUCUCUAAAACCACCCCUCCUCUGGUGAACUAAGGAUGGCGAUAACGCUUUAUGUAAAGUGCCUGGCCAGAUACUCAAUAAAUGUUAAUUUUCCAAGCUUAUACAUGCAUCAGUCACUAAGUUCUCCAAACAUUUCCAUAUCCUGGAGAAAGUUUCUCUCAAUUAUUUGGAAGAGUGGAAGUGAUAUGCCCCGCCCCAAAAAAAUCCAUUUCCUCCAUUCUUCAUACCAUUAAUGCCUUCUAUUUAUGGUUUUGCUUAAUAGUUAUAACCCCUGCCACCCAGCCAACAAAACAGAACAACAGCAACAAAAAACUCUGCCUACAUCUCUGUGCUUCCAAAUUGUUUAUGCAUAUGCUUAGAAGAACAUUUAUUGAAUUGGAUUUCAAGUACUUGUUCUGUGUCUCUCUCGUCAAACUGUAAACUCUCAGUCUGACUCAUCUUUCUAAUUUCAGGGCUUAGCAAGUUAUUCAACAACUAGAAAGUUUAAAUUCAGGUUGAAUGGAUGAAUGAAGACAGAAUAAUCAUUUCUGUUUACAAGGGAACCAUACCUUUUUACAUAGACAAAUGCUUGUAAAGGUAUUUGAUCCUGAUUUAUGUUUGUCUCCAUUUUCUACUUCAGAUGGGCCACCUGUUUUAAAUCCAAAAGCUGGUAGGAGUUUCAGGUACACUGCAUUUGCUUCUGCUGUCCUAUUGCACUUGGACUUGGUGCAGCUAUGACCUAAUGCAGAAGACAAAGUAUGAAGCUACCAAACUGUCAGGGCCAGAACUAAGGUGAGGCAAGAAAGCUACUUGCUUGGGGCACAAAUUUAAGAAGAGGUGCCAAAAAACUGAAUAAUCAAAUAAAUAACAUUUUAAUGCAAUAUUUUUAAAAAUAAAAAUUAAUGCAAAAAAAAUUCACAGUGAACAAAAUACCAAACUCUUAAACAAAAACAGGAUCCCACAGUGCCAUGUAAGCCAUAUUAGAGCCUGAUGCAAAAAGAAAAAACAAUGCGCAGCACUAAAUACAUGCUUUUUAUGGUUUUGUUAGUUUGUUUUUUGAAACGGGGUUUCUCUGCUGUUGCCCAGGCUGGAGUGCAGUGACAUGCUUUCGGCUCACUACAACUUCUGCCUCCUGGGCUCAAGCCAAUUUCCUACCUCAGCCUCCUGAGUAGCUGAGACUAUAGCUACACCACAACACCCAGCUAAUUUUUGUAUUUUUAGUAGAGACAGGGUUUCACCAUGUUGGUCAGGCUGGUCUUGAACUCCUGACCUCAAGUGACCCACCUGCCUCAGCCUCCCAAAGUGCUGGGAUUAUAGGCAUGAGCCACCGCGUCUGGCCAGGUGGAAGACUUGCUUCUCCCAUGUGGCUGGGCUUACAGCUUCUGCCAUGCGCUCUCAGCACCUCUUUUCCAGGCUGCUAAGCCCUGCCACUUCCUACCUUGCAAAGUGCCAUCAGGUUGCCAUCCCCUGCUGCACUAGCCCAGGCCCCUCUGGAGAGGUGGCUUUGGCUCAGGCUCCACUUUUCUCCCCAGCAUGGUAUGAGGCAUGUGGUAGAGGUUGGGGGAGCAAUGCAGGUAGGCAGGACCCAGGAGAGCCCUUUCCUGGGCUGGGGCUUCCUAUUGCCCUUCCCCCACCCCCUGCCACCCUGCCCCCAAUACUGGCUGGAAAAGGGGUAGGUAGGAAGAGAGAGUCCAGAAUUUGGCUAUUCACAUCCCCAGGGCUAAGCUUGGGUGGAAGAAACAGUCCCUCCAAGUUUGCUCAUUGUUUUGGAAGCUGGUUUCUAAAGAGUUUCACUAAAAUAGUAUUUGCUUAUCAUUUUAAUUUCUAUGGUAGAUCAGAAAGCAGAAGGUUUUAAGGCCAGGCGUGAUAGCUCACGCCUGUAAUCCCAACACCUUGGGAGGCCAAGGUAGGCAGAUUGCUUGAGUCCAGGAGUUCCAGACCACACUGGAGAGACCCUGUGUCUGCAAAAAAAAAAAAAAAAAAAAAGCCAGGCAUGGUGGUGCAUGCCUAUAGUCCCAGCUACUCAGGAGGCUGAGGUGGGAGGAUAGCUUGAGCCUAGGAGGUCGAGGCCGCAGUGAACCGUGAUCGUGCCACUGAACUCCAGCCUGGGCGACAUAAUGAGACCCUGUCUCUAAAUAAAUAAAUAAAUGUUUUUUAAAAAGAAAUCAGAAGGUUCUAACAGAAGGGUUCAGAUGUAGAAUUUUUUUUUUAAAAAAAAGGUUUCUCCUUUUCUCAGGAGUAGAGAGGGACAAUGCUUGAGAAAUACACAGUCUUACGUGUUUCCUUUAGAACCCCAGUGGCAUCUUAUUUAUGAUGAGUAGCUCCUAGCAACAACACCCUACCUCUUGGUAAUCAAUCGUAGUUUCAUCGGCUUUGAGGUUCCCACUGGCUGUUUAGGUAAAUCCUUCAGACAUUAACUCCUAUCAAGUACAAGCAUCCGGGCUCAGGACUGUGAGAGAUCAAGCUGAACACAGUGCCAUACCUGCCCUUGAGAAAGUGACAGACACUCCCUAACGGUUUGGUUGGGGAGAGGCAAAUUCAAAUGGCCCUGGAGACUCAUUUUCUCACCUGUUUUCAUGGUUUAGCAACUCGCUGCCUCAGCAGAUCUGAGUUAGCUUGGAGGCAAAACAGGAUGCUCUAGAAGUUCCUACUAAAUGGCAGCCUAGAGGUGCCCCGAAUCCCCGGCUUCCACCUCAGCAUUUGUAAAACAGAGUUUAAGAUCCUUCUGUAUCGAACUCUGCGAGAUGAACCCAGCCUAGGCACAUUUCUCAGCGGGACAGGGAAGCUGGGGGCUGGGAUGGAUGGUGGGAUGGGGAAAUGGGGUUGCUUACAUGCUCCUCCUUCUCUGCUUGUAUCCCCCUCCCCCACCCAAGUUGUAUUUAUACCACAUGGCAUUGGUAGUGUGUGUCUGUGGCCCCUGAAAGGCAGUCGCACGCAUGAAGGUUAAACUCCACUUUGCCUCGGUGCUAAGUGUUUUUGGAACUGCCCAUUGUCCAACUGGGCCUUCCCAGGGACAAAAGCAUUCUCUCCCAGGGGGCCCUGUCACCCAAGCCCCAGUGUCAGCAAUCCUGGUUGUGCUGAGGCAGCCCUCGCAUUUGGGAACCCAGAAGAUAAAAGGGUGGGAGGAUCAUGGUGGGACUGCUGGGCACUAAUUCCCCCAAACAAGUGUGACACCCAAGGAAAACCCUGGGCCGCAAGACUGCCAGUGAUUGGUAAAAAGGAGACCCGCCCCUGUGGAGCCCAGGAAUAUUCAGGAGAAUUACGCUUUAUGGCUGAAAACAGGGAGAAGGAUAAAAUUGCAGGGAUGAGUGGAGAUUAGGGGCUGCUACUGCUACUCACUCAGAAAAGCAGCCAGGCUGAUGGGGUGACACAAAAAUCUGGAAUGGAUUUAGCUGCUCUUAUGCAGCAAAACCACAGACAAACUCACGGCUAACGGGAAGCCUGGACCAGAUAUAAGAGAUUUAUAGGCACAGUUCCAGCAGCUAUACACACUAAGUUCUAGGACUUGGUUCCCUGCUCCUUCCUUAAGGGAUACUUUAAAUAUUUCUGAAUUUGCCCAACCAAUGUCUGGUUUCUUUGUUUUUGUCUGUGACAUGUCUCUUGCUUUUUUGCAGCCUGUAUAAUUGAUAGGAACCUUCUGGGUGCAUGAUGAGUGGAUCUUCUGAUAAGAUACAUUUAAAGUGUCCCCUGUUGGUGGCUUCUAAUAUGGGGCUAAGGAUGUGACCAAGAAUGGCCUGUAAUCCUGAAGCCUGCCAAGAUUGCAUCAUUGAAACAAUGCUUCCUACCAGGUGGAGAGAAAAUGCAGUAUUCUUAUCUGAGACGUAAUAGAGGCCAGAGUGCUGAACAACACUAUCCACCAGUUCCGUAGCCCCAUAGGGCUGGGGAAGCCACUGGUAUAUGGAACCUUACUGUACCCUGUUGAGGCUUAAACAUGUCAGUGGCCACUAUUCUUAUAGUGUCUGAUAUCAUGAGUGGCUGAACUAGAAUUGUGCCAUUAGUGGUACUUGGCAUGCAGGCUUGGAUAGAUUAAUGCUGGGGUUUGUUUUUUGUUUUGUUUUGUUUUUGUUUUUAAAGACAAGGUCUGGCUCAGUUGUCUAGGCUGGUCUCUAUCUCCUGGACUCAAGCGAUCCUCACACCCCAGCCUUCUGAGUAGCUAGAACUACAGGCUUGUGCCACCACAUCCAGCUAAUGCUUAAAAAAAAAAAGAAAAAAUACUCUUUAUACCUUUUCUACCCUUCUCCAUGCCCUAGGAGGCUGAUCUUUAGGUACUCCUUCACCUGGGCUUCUUUGUUAUCUGGCUUCUGGAAGAGAAAGCCAGAUAACAAAGAGAGAACAAUGGCAGAGAAAAGUGACAUUCAGGUAUUUAUACAUCUCCACCUCCUGGGAUUUUGGUUGGGGCUGUGUUCCUCGGUGGAGACAGCUCCUGUCAGCGCCCUCUUUCCUACCUCCAGCUCACUCAGCUCUGAUGAUACUGUUCCCUCCCUCCAGCUGCUAGAACUGUGCCUCUUGCUUUUUCAGGGUUGGUAACGGCUUCCCUCCCCCACCCCAUUACUAAUCCCUGGGCACCUCACUGUCCCGCAUUGGUUCCCUUAUCUGGUUCAUAACUCUCUUAGUAUUGUCCCCACUGAAUUCUGUUUAGUUAUGUUCCUUUGCAUGUUUUGUCUGUUUCUUGAGAGGUCUCUGACUGAUAUCACUUGCCCUUAUCCACCAAGGCAAGCAGUACUGUAACAAACUCCCCAGGAGUACAUUGUACAUUGUCAGAGAGCUGAACAAAUGCUGACAAAAUGAGAACUGCUGGUUGGGGCCAAACAUUCCACUCUCUCGAUGACCUCACCACCGAAUGUACUACAUGAACUCCACUGCAUUCCAGCUUAGAAAAGCUGACCAAAGAUGAAUGGGCUUCCAAGGAAGAAGAAACAAUUCAGCCACCCAUCUUUUUUGGGGGCUUCUUGUGCGACAGUCCAAAAAGACAUUCUAUCCUCUAUUAAAGUCAAAGUUCUAAUCUUGUGGCCACUAGCUGCUGUUGGGAUGAAUGCCUAACCUCUGAUUGGCCUGUUUUGGAAACAUCACCCUUUAUACCUGGAAAUUCCACAACAGGCUUUAUAUACCCAAUAAUUAACUAUAUUUGAGAAGGGGACACCUAUGGCAAGAAGCCUUGAAAGUGAUCCAGGCAUCAGUAAAGCAAACCUUGU